GGAAACAGAAACAAACUGAUUAAUUUCAUCAGAAUCUACUCUGGGAAUAAUGUACUUUUAAGAAAGCCAGUGUCAGCAUCAGAUUCAGCCUUUCAAUCACAUGAACUGAUAUCAUUUUAACGUCUAGCUGAAGAGAAUGAAGUCAGAAAUGGAAAGUGCUGACAUGUGGGAAGUCUAAAAAUGCCUGCUUCUUUGUUAAAGCACCACCUUGGAAUUAGCCAUAUCCCAGAGAUACACCUUUUCUGGCUAUUUUCAUGUAUUAAUUUUAUGAUCUGGGCUGCACAUACCUGCCAUGGGAAGUCUUGGUCCAGUGCUGACGCAGCACAGACUGGUGGGUAGUUCCAUGUCUCAUUCUGCUCUUCUGAUCCGUGUCUCAUGAACCCAGCUAUGGAAGGCAAAGAUCAAAAAGAAAGAAGCAGAGCGACUUCUCAUUUUUGCCCCAAGUACAUGCUCAUGCACACCUGUGCUCUACGACUGCCUCGGCUGGUCCAAGCCCACGCUCCAGUGCCUCAUGCACUAGCCUUACAAGCUUCUUUCAAAACUGACUCUCCAAUGUUGUACAGCUGCUCUAUUAUCCUUAUUUGACUAAUAAGUUCAUUAUUAUAAUUUUUACUGUAUUUUUAUCAAUGACAAAAAGAAAAACAAAAAAGGACUAUAGUUUGGUUUCUCAAUCUCCAUGAAGUUGAAGUUUUCCAUCUUUAGGACUGCUUUUACUGAACCACCAAAAUUGCUAAAGUAUAAAAUAUAAAAUAUACCAGAGAAAGUAAACAUGAAAAUUCCUUCAUCCAGAUUUCAUGCAAAUACAAUUUAUUAAUGAGUGAGGCCCAAAUUGUUUUUAUACUGGGAAAAAUCUGGAAGCAAUCAUGUGUGAAGCACAGUUUCAAAACAAGAGACUCAAGGUUAAUAAAAUACUAAAAUCAGGACAUUUUUUAAAUAAUUACCUCUAUACAGAGGCAUAAAAAUUUUCUAAAUAAAUGGUUUCAAUAUAUAAGACAUUGUAAUGUGAUAUAAAAUACUGAUACAUAUCACUGUCUUCUAGAGAUAGUGAAAUAAGCAUGAUUUAUAAAAUACAUGAGGUCCAAUGUUUAUCACAGCACUAUUUACGACAGCCAAGAAAUGAAAGCAACCUAAGUGUCCAUCAGUAAAUGAAUGGAUAAAGAAGAGAUGGUACAUUUACACAAUGGAAUAUUAUUCAACCAUAAGAAGAAAAUAAAUCCUACCAUUUGCAACAACCUGGAUGGAGUUGGAGGACAUUAUGCUCAGUGAAAUAAGCCAGGCAGAGAAAGACAAGUAUCAAAUGAUUUCACUCAUCUGUGGAGUAUAAGAACAAAGAAAAACUUGAAGGAACAAAAUAGCAGAAUCACAAAACCCAAGAAUGGACUAACAGUUACCAAAGGGAAAGGGACCUAACCAACUCUUCAUCUGGUUCAGGAAUAGCUUACACAGACUCAAAUGAAAGAAACAAUACAGUGUGAACAUUCUGAGUAUUUUUAAAUCUUUUCCAGCACCAAACACUGCCAAAUAGCUAGUUUAUAAAGUGAGGUGUGAACACACAGAAAAAGCAGCAUUCAAAUAAUGGUGUCCUAAUUGGUAACAUGUAUUUUGGAUAAAAUAUUGGCAUUUUCUGCUUGCUUAUUGUAGGGAGAGGUUUAUAAAACCAGAGUGGAGAAAACGUAAAAUUCGUUUCAAAAUUUCUUAAUUUCAGCCCUUAAAAUACAUCUCUUCUAAUAAAGCGCAUCACAUGAGUCUUAAGAGUAAGAACCUCAUGUGAGAGCUGCAGAGAGCUUGUUGACUGCAGCUGCGGCUUGUCAACCCCCACGUGGCCCAAAACAGUUUCUCUGUGGUGAGCAUGAGGGGCCCAUUGGGUUCUCUGAUAUAACACAGGAAGGUGACAAAUUGGUCACUUCUUGAAGUCUAAAGCUCAAGUAUUUUUACUAAGCAUCAUCAAAAUAGCACUAAGCGUCUUUCUUGACCUUUAGACAAAAAAUAUCUACGAUGUAAAGCUCUGUGGUUCAUAUCUGUUGAUGCAGUUGGGGUAUAGAAAAGACAAGGGAAGUAGAAGGUCCCCUAAGAAUGAUAAGACACAUCAGUACACAAACAGAAGAUUAUUUGAGUCAGUAAAAGCCUGUCAGUCUAGAGAAUUUGCCUUUUAACUUUUGCACUAAAUUCUCGUCCACUGGGACUCAAUCAAUACACACAUUUCCAAGAUCUAGUAGUCUAAAAUGAAUCUGAGAGUCAUAGAAGAGGAUUAUUGUUAAAAUUUUAUAAUUGAUUCCACAGCUAUCUUUUAAAAUUUUUAUUGAAGUAUAGUUGAUAUACAGUAUUAUAUUUCAAGUACACAACACGGUGAUUCAACAGCUGCACAAAUUAUUAAACUCUCACCCCAACUAGUACAGUUACCAACCGUCAACAUAGGAAGAUGUUAUAGAAUCAUUGACUGUAAUCUCCAUGCUGCACGUCCAACCUUGUGACCAACUUAUAUUAUGUAUGAGAUUUUGUGCCCCUUAAUCCCAUCUACCCACCCAUCCCUCCCCAUGGUAACCACCAGUCACUUUUCAGUGUCUCUGAGUCUACUGCUGUUUUGUUAGUUAAGUUUUGUUUUAUUUUUAUACUCCAUGAAUAAGUGAAAUCACAUGGUAUUUGUCUUUUUCCACCUGGCUUAUUUCACUUAGCAUAAUGCCCUCUAGGUCCAUCCAUGUUGUUGCAAAUGGCAAGACUUCUUUCUUUUUAUGGCUGAAUAAUAUUCCAUUGGGUAUAUGUACCACCUCUUCUUUAUCCAUUCACCUAUCAAUGGACACUUUGGUUGCUUCCAUAUCUUGGCUGUUUUAAAAUUCCCCUACCUUUUUAGUAGAAAACUAGUCUAUAUUUAUUUAGUUAUUUGUUUGUUUGUAAUGUGAAUCAAGUUGACACAAAAAUAAGUAAUAGUUCAAGUGGUACACAGAUUUGCCUCUCCCCACCAAAAAAGAAAGAAAAAUCAUGGUUGGUUCAAAUACAACUGGACUCAAUGAUAAUGAUGCCUAGCAUUUUAUUUUCCUAUAAAUUGACAACAUUUUCAUAAUAUAUAUAUUAUAUUUAAUAAUUAUCUAUAAGACAGACAAUUUGGGGGUUUACUACAUUGCAAAAUUUGUUAGAUAUUUUGCAUAAUUUACC
Manis pentadactyla (Chinese pangolin) is the source of this 3150-nucleotide long non-coding RNA. RefSeq lists it as uncharacterized. The transcript has 3 exons. The record is from RefSeq and is a predicted model, not a curated record. Lineage: Eukaryota; Metazoa; Chordata; Mammalia; Pholidota; Manidae.